GAGGGGAGGGAGUGGUACAGCAUCAGAGCUCCCUGAAGUCUCUGCUCUCAGCGUGGCUUGGCCUGACCCCCAUGCCAGCUGUGCCCAAGCCAUCCAUGCCAGGCCGCAGUGGGCACCCCUCUGGGCAGUGUGGGGCGGGUGUCAGCAGCAGCUGUGGAGCCUGGCACCCUCUACCACCUCUCUAGCUGGUUUCCUGAUAGCCCCCACAUACACACUCAGGGCACUGCUCAAGCUUCGGCAGCACCAAGCAGGAUGUUGGGGCAAAGGCAAGGGGUAGUAGAAAGAGAGCAUCUGGGUUUCAGAAUGUCUGGGUCCCUGAGAGCUGGGUGUCCCCCCACUCCGUAAGGGCAGCCUGGGCGGUGCCUGGCCUAGAACUGAGAAGGUGGGGUCAGAUCAAAGCCUCCUUCCCCAGCGGCCUCUUUGUUCUUCGCUUUUAUAAGGAGGAGGGGGUGGGGCCGAGGAGGGAGGGCCCCCUUUGCUCUCAGCCCCACUCUGUCUCUAUCACCUCUGGCAGGCAAAGCUAUGACGCCUCCCCCCCGCAAGACUAACCAGUGACCAGUGACCAGUGACCUGGGGGGAGCCAAAGAAGGGGUGCCCCUUCCCCCGGUGCUAUGCUCUACUCGCCCCGGUGCCCCACAGCUUCCCCUGGCACGGUGCCGGCCCGCCUGGCACCCAGCCAACGAUCGAUAGGUGGAUGUUGUGCUGAUUAGCUCGGCGGGGCUGCGGCGGCAAGAGGCGGCAUGUGAACAUGCGCGUGGAGGGGGCGGCGGGCGGAGGGUGCUAGAGGUCCAGAGACUGAUGACCAGGCCGAAAUGCUGGAGGUUUUCGAACCCCUGCCCCACCCCUUUGCACACCUGGCUCACACCCCGUCCUUCUGGGUUGUUUCCAUCGCUCAGGCUGAGGCCUGGGGCGGAGGACAGCACCCAGGACGAAGCCUACAUGAGUUGACCCGCCCCCUGAUUCAAGGCCACUUUCUGUAGGUGCAUGUGCUUGCGUAUUCGUGUCAGGGCCCUCCCCGCAAAACACGAUUCUUAGGGGGGGCGAGAGGCCAGAGAGAAGAGGGUGAAGUCUGAGCUGAGGCCUGAGCUAUGGGCUCGGUCUUCGGUCCUGUGUUCGAGUUCAGUCUCUACUGCCAACCAGAAGGUGUCUAUCCGUCGCCGUGGAAACCGACUGUACUGCUACCUCCGCCCCUCUCCAGUGAAGCCAGAGGCGACGCAGGCCGGGGAUGACUGGUUCGACCAGCACUAAGGACUGCGGGCUUCUCAUCCUGCUCCCAGCGGCCGCAGACACCCUCCCUUCGCGGACCAAGCCCGGCGCGCUCGCUCCCGAGCCCGUAGCCGGCGCGCGGAUCUCGCCGCUGAUAACGCAUGUGCGAAAGAGACGCGGGGCCAAACCGGCUUUCCCCACACUCAAGACACACGCCCUCUCUCUCAGGCAGACGCGCACACUUGACACAGACACAGGCAGGCCCUCGCCGGCUCCUAGCUCCCUGCAGCCCGGGCCUUGUGUGGACAACUGAUUCAGUUGCGGGGCGCGUCUCCAAGGAAAGCGAGGGCCAAGUCCGCUCAUGGGGCCUAGACAGGUCGAAGACUCUGGGCGGUCUUCCGGGACUGGGCCCUACCCAUGAGAAGUCCUCGAGGCGUGUUCCCGGGCGUGGUUCCAGGAGGAUCGGCAGACCUGCAGGUUUUGAGGCGUCACCGAUCUCCCCUAAACUCAGCGGCGCUAGAUGGCCGAGGGUGGGGCCCUCAAUUUGCUGGGCUUGCCCUAGUCUCACCAGAAUGAUGCAAAAACCCCUCAUCUUCGCAUCAAGCUAUGUCGCUGUUCCGAGAACGGGAGAGCCCCAGUCUCCGACCUCGAUCCUGCUCCCCACUUUCUGGGGUUACAAGUCUUUCACCAGAGGCUAAACCCUAAAGUUUUGGUCUUUUUUAUGUAACCCCACCGUUUUUUCUUCUUCCUUUUCAGUAAUUCCUUCCUUUCCUUAUUCAUUCGGCAAGUUGUGAGCUCCCAGCGCGUUCUUCUUUCAGUCGGCCACACCAGCUGGGGUCGUCGGGGGAUCCCCAGCGGUGACGCAGUUGGAGAGGGGCACGCUGACUUCCAAAUAACCAAUAGAAUCCUUGCGCCUGGGGCAUGAGGUCAUCAGCGGUGAUGCCCAUUGGUUCAGGCCUGGACGUGGAGGGGGUCCCCAUAGCAACCGACGGUGCGUCCGAGCGUAACCUGGAGAGUGGUCUUUGCUUGUGCUUCAAUGGCAGCUUGGGUGGUGCUUGGGUUGGGGGCGGGGAGGCGAGAGCGGAGCCCUGUUUCCCAGGUCGUGCAGUUGUAGCCCAACCAAGCUCUUAUUUUUCUUGAGAUCCUUUUACUCACUCAGCCGAGGAAGUUAGGAGGGAAGUAUUGGCAAAAGCGUGGGGGUCCUGG
This is a long non-coding RNA of Bos taurus (domestic cattle), 2412 nucleotides long. The record is from Ensembl. Lineage: Eukaryota; Metazoa; Chordata; Mammalia; Artiodactyla; Bovidae.